GAAUAUUGGUCAAUGGACGCAAGUCUGAACCAGCCAUGCCGCGUGAAGGAUGAAGGUCCUCUGGAUUGUAAACUUCUUUUAUCUGGGACGAAAACGGGAUUUUUAUCUCAAUUGACGGUACCAGAGGAAUCAGCACCGGCUAACUCCGUGCCAGCAGCCGCGUUAAUACGGAGGGUGCGAGCGUUAUCAGGAUUUACUGGGUUUAAAGGGUGCGUAGGUGGGCUUAUAAGUCAGUGGUGAAAUCUCCGAGCUUAACUUGGAAACUGCCGUUGAUACUAUAGGUCUUGAAUUAUCUGGAGNUAAGCGGAAUAUGUCAUGUAGCGGUUAAAUGCUUAGAUAUGACAUAGAACACCAAUUGCGAAGGCAGCUUACUACAUAUAAAUUGACGCUGAGGCACGAAAGCGUGGGGAU
RNAcentral lists this ribosomal RNA (411 nucleotides) under uncultured bacterium. RNAcentral describes it as "bacterial SSU rRNA". It matches the Rfam family "Bacterial small subunit ribosomal RNA", at positions 359 to 768 of the family's 1533-position model. The record is from RNAcentral.